Molecule: ribosomal RNA, 504 nt
Filed under: uncultured bacterium
Lineage: Bacteria
Description: partial 16S ribosomal RNA
Rfam family: Bacterial small subunit ribosomal RNA
Source: RNAcentral
AUUGAACGCUGGCGGCAGGCCUAACACAUGCAAGUCGAGCGGUAGCACAGAGAGCUUGCUCUCGGGUGACGAGCGGCGGACGGGUGAGUAAUGUCUGGGAAACUGCCUGAUGGAGGGGGGUAACUACUGGAAACGGUAGCUAAUACCGCAUAACGUCGCAAGACCAAAGUGGGGGACCUUCGGGCCUCAUGCCAUCAGAUGUGCCCAGAUGGGAUUAGGUGGUAGGUGGGGUAACGGCUCACCUAGGCGACGAUCCCUAGCUGGUCUGAGAGGAUGACCAGCCACACUGGAACUGAGACACGGUCCAGACUCCUACGGGAGGCAGCAGUGGGGAAUAUUGCACAAUGGGCGCAAGCCUGAUGCAGCCAUGCCGCGUGUGUGAAGAAGGCCUUCGGGUUGUAAAGCACUUUCAGCGGGGAGGAAGGCAUUAAGGUUAAUAACCUUAGUGAUUGACGUUACCCGCAGAAGAAGCACCGGCUAACUCCGUGCCAGCCGCCGCCGUAA